AAAGUAUCGCUAUUCAUUGUACCUUUGCUUUACAAGAUAGGUCGUCUGGUGAUGCUGAUACUCCCCAAUUACCUAUAUUAAGGCUGAACUACAAACUAUAAUUCGAAGAAUAGGCAAACGAAAAUCAUAAUACUGUAUGAUAUUAUUGAUUUUGAGAGUAGCAAAAAUAAUUAAUAAUUCAUCGUAGCGUUUUUCAGAUAUCACAGAAAACAUACCAUACUCUAUCGCAUAAUCAAAAUAGUUUACGAGCCUUCUUUGACUGCAAGUAACAUAUAGGCAAUGUCGCUUUAUAUUUUGAUACAUAAUUUCUAUAAAAGUUAGGUGUUAUAUGAUAACCAACUCUUCGAAAGGAAGCAUAUGUUUUGCUUUAAUUAAGCUUUAUUGAUAUUUUUACCGUUGUUAAAUAAUAUAUACUAAAGAUCUGACCCAGUUGAAUUUGCUAUCUAUGUUGUAUUGCUUUUUACUAAUACAACCGAACUGCCAAUUUUUACAUAAAUAUUUUAUUAAAUCGGAUUGAGAAGUAAAAAUUAUAAAAUCAUACAUUUAAUAAAAUCC
This is a non-coding RNA of Schizosaccharomyces pombe (fission yeast), 555 nucleotides long. Lineage: Eukaryota; Fungi; Ascomycota; Schizosaccharomycetes; Schizosaccharomycetales; Schizosaccharomycetaceae. The record is from the annotation of a GenBank genome assembly.